CAGCAGCCGCGGUAAAACCAGCACCUCGAGUGGUCAGGAGGUUUAUUGGGCCUAAAGCAUCCGUAGCCGGUUGCAUAAGUUUUCGGUUAAAUCUAUGCGCUUAACGUAUAGGCCGCCGAAAAUACUGUGCAGCUAGGGAGUGGGAGAGGUACACGGUACUCGAUAGGAAGGGGUAAAAUCCUUUGAUCUAUUGAUGACCACCUGUGGCGAAGGCGGUGUACCAGAACACGCUCGACGGUGAGGGAUGAAAGCUGGGGGAGCAAACCGGAUUAGAUACCCCCGUAGUCCCUGUCUCUUAUAC
Molecule: ribosomal RNA, 301 nt
Filed under: uncultured bacterium
Lineage: Bacteria
Description: partial 16S ribosomal RNA
Rfam family: Archaeal small subunit ribosomal RNA
Source: RNAcentral